RNAcentral lists this unclassified non-coding RNA (1577 nucleotides) under Octopus sinensis (East Asian common octopus). RNAcentral's name for it is "serine/threonine-protein phosphatase 2B catalytic subunit alpha isoform, transcript variant X9". The record is from RNAcentral. Lineage: Eukaryota; Metazoa; Mollusca; Cephalopoda; Octopoda; Octopodidae.
AUAUACGUAUUAUAUAUAUAUAUAUAUAUCAAACCGAAUAUAUAUAAUUAAUAUAUAUAUAUAUAUAUAUAUACGUAUAUAUAUAUAUAUUUUAAAAUAACCCGAGAACGAUGACCACAACAGACUGUAAGAUGUCUACUACGGACAGGGUCAUCAAAAGUGUACCCUUUCCACCAAGUCAUCGAUUACAAACACUAGAGGUGUUUGACCCACGAGGCAAACCUAAACCUGAUGUUUUAAAGCAGCAUUUCGUGUUAGAAGGUAGAGUCACAGAGGAUGUAGCAUUAAGGAUUAUUAAUGAAGGAGCAGCAUUGCUGCGGCAAGAAAAGACUAUGAUUGACAUUGAAGCACCUGUUACAGUCUGCGGUGAUAUUCAUGGACAGUUUUAUGACUUAAUGAAGUUAUUUGAAGUUGGAGGACCACCAGCUACAACGCGUUACCUCUUUUUAGGAGACUAUGUUGACAGAGGAUAUUUUAGCAUAGAGUGUGUUUUAUAUUUAUGGGCCCUGAAGAUCUUAUAUCCAAAUACUUUUUUCUUACUCCGUGGAAACCAUGAGUGUAGACAUCUGACAGAAUAUUUCACAUUUAAACAAGAAUGUAAAAUCAAAUACACCGAACGAGUAUAUGACGCCUGUAUGGAUGCAUUUGACUGCCUGCCUCUAGCAGCCUUAAUGAACCAACAAUUUUUGUGUGUCCAUGGAGGUCUCUCACCAGAAGUACAUACUUUAGAAGAUAUAAGAAAAUUGGACAGAUUCAAAGAACCACCAGCAUUUGGUCCAAUGUGUGAUUUAUUAUGGUCCGAUCCUCUGGAAGAUUUUGGCAAUGAAAAAACUACAGAACACUUUACACACAAUAGUGUUAGGGGUUGCUCAUAUUUCUACAGCUAUGCAGCAUGUUGUGAUUUCUUGCAACAGAAUAAUCUAUUAUCUAUAAUCAGGGCACAUGAAGCUCAGGAUGCUGGGUAUCGUAUGUAUAGGAAAAGUCACCAAACUGGUUUUCCGUCAUUAAUAACUAUAUUUUCAGCACCUAAUUAUUUGGAUGUAUACAACAAUAAAGCGGCAAUUCUCAAGUAUGAAAAUAACGUAAUGAAUAUUAGGCAGUUCAACUGCUCUCCACACCCAUAUUGGCUGCCAAACUUUAUGGAUGUUUUCACAUGGUCUUUACCAUUCGUGGGAGAAAAAGUUACAGAGAUGUUAGUAAACGUCCUUAAUAUCUGUUCAGAUGAUGAGUUGAUGACUGAAGGAGAUGAUACAUUUGAAGCUGAACUUGGUAAACAAAGAAGACAGAACAACUUCAACAACAACAUCAACAACAACAACAACAACAACAACGUCAAAUCUCAGGGAUUAGUGAAGACCAUAUCACAGUUGCUGCCAGGAAAGAGGUCAUCAGAAACAAGAUUCGAGCCAUCGGUAAAAUGGCUAGAGUAUUUACUGUACUGAGGGAAGAGAGCGAAAGCGUACUGCAGUUGAAGGGACUUACUCCAAAUGGUUUGCUACCUCUCGGAGCGCUAUCUGGUGGCAAAGAUACUCUGAGAAGUGCUAUCGAUAAUCCGAACGAGGAACCAGCUAUCAAAG